Molecule: ribosomal RNA, 429 nt
Filed under: Chloroflexota bacterium
Lineage: Bacteria; Bacillati; Chloroflexota
Description: Chloroflexi bacterium partial 16S ribosomal RNA
Rfam family: Bacterial small subunit ribosomal RNA
Source: RNAcentral
UGGGGAAUAUUGCACAAUGGGCGCAAGCCUGAUGCAGCCAUGCCGCGUGUGUGAAGAAGGCCUUCGGGUUGUAAAGCACUUUCAGCGGGGAGGAAGGCGUUAAGGUUAAUAACCUUGGCGAUUGACGUUACCCGCAGAAGAAGCACCGGCUAACUCCGUGCCAGCAGCCGCGGUAAUACGGUGGGUGCAAGCGUUAAUCGGAAUUACUGGGCGUAAAGCGCACGCAGGCGGUCUGUCAAGUCGGAUGUGAAAUCCCCGGGCUCAACCUGGGAACUGCAUUCGAAACUGGCAGGCUAGAGUCUUGUAGAGGGGGGUAGAAUUCCAGGUGUAGCGGUGAAGUGCGUAGAGAUCUGGAGGAAUACCGGUGGCGAAGGCGGCCCCCUGGACAAAGACUGACGCUCAGGUGCGAAAGCGUGGGGAGCAAACAGG